Molecule: ribosomal RNA, 433 nt
Filed under: uncultured bacterium
Lineage: Bacteria
Description: partial 16S ribosomal RNA
Rfam family: Bacterial small subunit ribosomal RNA
Source: RNAcentral
AACGAACGCUGGCGGCAUGCCUAACACAUGCCAGUCGAACGAGACCUUCGGGUCUAGUGGCGCACGGGUGCGUAACGCGUGGGAACCUGCCCUUAGGUUCGGAAUAACUCCCCGAAAGGGGUGCUAAUACCGGAUAAUGUCUUCGGACCAAAGAUUUAUCGCCUUUGGAUGGGCCCGCGUUGGAUUAGCUAGUUGGUAGGGUAAAAGCCUACCAGGGCGACGAUCCAUAGCUGGUCUGAGAGGAUGAUCAGCCACACUGGGACUGAGACACGGCCCAGACUCCUACGGGAGGCAGCAGUGGGGAAUAUUGGACAAUGGGCGAAAGCCUGAUCCAGCAAUGCCGCGUGAGUGAUGAAGGCCUUAGGGUUGUAAAGCUCUUUUACCCGGGAUGAUAAUGACAGUACCGGGAGAAUAAGCGCCGGCUAACUCCGUG